This 293-nucleotide unclassified non-coding RNA is filed under the name uncultured fungus. RNAcentral's name for it is "sequence contains ITS1, 5.8S rRNA gene". The stretch from base 245 to 293 matches the Rfam family "5.8S ribosomal RNA", at positions 1 to 49 of the family's 154-position model. The record is from RNAcentral. Lineage: Eukaryota; Fungi.
UUUCCGUAGGUGAACCUGCGGAAGGAUCAUUAUUGAAUAAACUUGGUUGGGUUGCUGCUGGCUCUUUCAAGAGCAAAGUGCACGCUCAUUACCAUUUUUACAACCUCAUGUGCACCUUUUGUAGACCUGAAAUAACUGAGAAUUGCGCUACAGCUCUUCUUAAAUUUCAAGUUUAUGUACACCAUAAUACUCCUAAUGAAUGUAAUGGAAUAAUUUGACAGUGUGUCUUUAAACACAUAUAUACAACUUUCAACAAUGGAUCUCUUGGCUCUCGCAUAGAUGAAGAACGCAGC